This is a long non-coding RNA of Hyaena hyaena (striped hyena), 528 nucleotides long. RefSeq lists it as uncharacterized. The record is from RefSeq and is a predicted model, not a curated record. The transcript is spliced from 4 exons. NCBI's taxonomy places the organism in Eukaryota, Metazoa, Chordata, Mammalia, Carnivora, Hyaenidae.
AGGGCCGGGAAGAAAAGAAAGUGACCCAGGACUACAAUUCCCGCAAUGCACUUCAUGGGCUUCUCUCGACGUGUGCUCUUGCAAAACGUAGUCCGCUGUGGGGGAAAUAUCAAGGAGCAUUUGCACUCCUAGUAUAAGGAAAUUUACUUCACUCCUCUGCAGCUCUGUAAAGCAUCUAUUUGGUUGGCCAUGUACACAAGCUGUCAGUGCUUGAACCAACAUAUCUGCCAGGGGAGGAUUAGGGAGAGACAAGGAGCAGAAUAUUUUCCCCUUAGAGCUUAGAGAAGAAGGAAGGAGACAGGAGGGCCAGAGUCAAAGAGAGAAGAGAUGCUAGUUUUGAAAGAGGUCCAUGAGCCAAAGAAUGCAGACAUACUUUAGAAUAUAGAAACAGCAAAGAGUGGAUUAUCCCCUGGAGCCUCCGGAAGAAACACAGCCCUGCCCACUUCUUGAUUUUGGCCUUGGAAGGCCCAUUUUUGGACUUCUGAUAUUCAGAACUGUAAGAUAAUAAAUUUGUGUGGUUUUAAGUCA